AAACUCUGCGCUUUUGCAGCGCAGGAGCAUGUAUAUUGAGCUUGGUUAGAGGCCCAAAUCAUUUUUUACCUGGAUCCUGAACAAUUAUGUUGAAAUCUCUGACUUGUUUAUACUUCUCCCGGUGGCUUCAACUCCGAGCUAUGUGAUACUUGUUAUAUCAAUCCAACAGAUUUCCAAUACUCUAAUCGGGCUCCAUAUUGGACAGCUGUGUUCUAUUCAUUUAAAAUGCUUUUUAUGCAUCAUAAUCAACUCGAGCAUGUCGAACUUUAUGCUAACAUUUUACAGUGCCCUUUUAUAUGCAGGCUUGGUGAAGAUGCUGUCCUUCAUCCAGAGGGUUCUGCAGCAGCCAGCCAGCAGUUCCAACAUUUGAAAUCGCUGAUACCCCCUAAUCCUCCCACAACUGUUGUUUCCACCCUUACAUAGAAAGAUGGGUCAUUGCUCAAGUCUCAAGAGGACCAAUUAUUGAAAGACUGAUUUGGGCGCAGUAUUGGCUGGUUAUGGGGUUCCGCACUUGUCACCACGGUUUUUCAUUAGAUAUUUUCUAAUGAUGCCGGCCCUCCUAUGGUGGGGCCAAACUCCCCCCGUCCCUAUUGCGGUGACAAUGGCGGAUCAGCAUAACCAGCUAAAACUGUUUGGCCGAAGCUGAAAGAGGGAAGCUAUACUAAAGAAAAAGAAAGUUGGACUUCAUAUCAUGCAGGACUUCAUAUCUUCUAACACGGCUCCAUGGUUUGUAAUGGGCCUAUUGGCUGGUUGCCAACAUUUUCAUGACAUUAUCUAGAAUGCCGAUGAAACUGCCCCUGUCCCUACCUUGGUGACAAGGGCGAAUCCGCACCACCAGCAAAAACUGUUUUGCCGAAGUAUGAAAAGAAAAGCUAUUAUGAAGAAGAAGAAUAACCAGAUCAUGCAGGACUUCGUAUCUUCUGUUCAAGGACUCAAGGCAAGCUACAUUUCUGAUAAGUGUAAAUUACUUAAAAACAACUUAGGGAUAGCAGCAAUAAGCCAACAGGUAAAAAUACCACAAUAGUACCGAUGAUAUGAGUUCGAAACAUGUAACCACCAAAACUCUAUAUCUUUAUCGAUCAAAAGAAUAAAAAUGAAAAGAAUAAAUACACCACAAUAAUUAA
Long non-coding RNA from Papaver somniferum (opium poppy), 1124 nucleotides. RefSeq lists it as uncharacterized. The record is from RefSeq and is a predicted model, not a curated record. NCBI's taxonomy places the organism in Eukaryota, Viridiplantae, Streptophyta, Magnoliopsida, Ranunculales, Papaveraceae. The transcript is spliced from 2 exons.